Molecule: long non-coding RNA, 722 nt
Organism: Pseudophryne corroboree (corroboree frog)
Lineage: Eukaryota; Metazoa; Chordata; Amphibia; Anura; Myobatrachidae
Exons: 3
Source: RefSeq, a predicted model, not a curated record
GCGUGAAAGCGGUGCAGGUUCUGGCGAUACAGAAGAAGAGCAUGGAGGCCUCGGAAUACCUGCAGAGCGUGGUCUACAUAGACCUGUGUCAGUUAUACAACUAAAAGUCCAUCAGCUCAGCCUCAACUGUACAUGACAGGAGGGUUCCAGAGAAUGUCAGCAGGCCCAUUGUGAUGUCAUCAGCCCAUUGUGAUGUCAUCGGCCCAUGCCCUGUGGCUAUAUAAUCUCUCAUCCAGGCAGUUUACUGCCAUUCCAUCUUGGAAGCUUCAACAGAAGAUCUCGAGUUACCAAUUUGCCUACAAUUUCUUACAACUCAAUGGCACCCCGCACACCAAAGAAGCCCGCAGGCCGCAAACGGAGAAGAAGAUCCACCAUGCGCCGCAGACAGAAACGCCAGGCUGCCGUGGCAGAGGAAACCCUGGUGGAAUACCUGCGCCGGGCAUAUAAGAUGCUGCCCGCAUACCAGGCACAACAAAAACAGUAGCCUGCAGACUGUAUGGCCUCAGGGGCUAGCCCAGCUGGUGGCCCACUAAUACCUGGUCACCAUGGAGGCCUUGUGGUGGUACAUUAGAUUAGGCUAAGAGUAGUCAGGGGGAAAAAAAAGUAACAUCAAAAAAAAUAAUUAACAUCAAAAAGAAAAAAAAAACAACUCUGCUAAAAAAACAACAAAAAGUGUUAGUGGUAAUUGUAGCUAGAAGCUUCUUUUUUUUUUUCAUUAAUGU